This 1122-nucleotide long non-coding RNA is filed under the name Felis catus (domestic cat). RNAcentral's name for it is "lncRNA (ENSFCAG00000048118.1)". The record is from RNAcentral. Lineage: Eukaryota; Metazoa; Chordata; Mammalia; Carnivora; Felidae.
CUCAAAAUAAAUAAAACAAUAAACAUUAAAAAAAUACAUUUUUGUUGUUUUAAGUCAGGGAGACUUAAAAAACCUUUAUCAUGGAAAUUUUCAAACCUAUAAAAGCAGAAACAAUAGUGUAUCCAACCCACUGUACCCAUUCUUUAACUGCCACGAUUAUCAAGACAUAAGCCUCGGUGUUUGGGGGCUAGUUUGCUACUUAGCACAACCUAGACUAGGGGAAAAAACUGGGGGAGGAGCCUGAUUUUAUACAAAUACUAAAUGAAUGACAGAUAAGUAAAGGGCAUGGAAACAAAAUUUAUGAGACUUGAUUUUAUUUUUAAAAGUUUAUUUUUGAGUGAGAGAGAGAGAGGGAGCACGAGCAGGGUAGGGGCAGAGAGAGAGGGAGACAGAAUCCGAAGCAGGCUCCAGGCUCCGAGCUGUCAGCACAGAACCGAAGAGGGGCUCGAACUCACAAACCGUGAGAUCCUGACCUAAACUGAAGUCAGAUGCUUAACUGAGCCACCCAGGGGCCCUGAGACUUGAUUUUUAUGCCAUAUUUUUCUUAAGGUUUUUAAAUGCUUUUUAGGAAUCCAGGAGAGCUGAACGUCUGGAUGAAUUCGCUGAAGGAAAAGUCGCUGGGCACCCAGAAGGGAACUCAGCCUAAAUCCGCCUCCUUUGACUCCGCCUCCAGCUCUUCUGGCGCUGGCGCUCAUCAGCUCACUGGCUACACAAGGGUUUUCAUGUGGCGAGAUGCAUGCCCCGUGGCCUUGUGCACCAGCCUGCCUCAGCAUUCUCUGCUUGGCUUCCUGCAUCUUGUGCCGCGCGCCGCUGCUGCUGACAUCGGCAGAGAGUUCCAGAAGGUUGGGUCUGUGGAGCAUUCAGUGCUGUGCUCGCCACAGAGCCAGUUUUAGGGACUACCAGCUGCUGCCUGAAGAUUGCCUGGCAGGCCUGACCCCUUGGCAAAGCAAAGCGUCCAGUGAGGUCUUUGCAAAAAGUCUCUCCAAGGAGCUGAGGAGCUGGGCAUCAGUACAGCAGAAAAAUGCAAACCAAUCAAGUCACAGAUUUUUCAGGCAUGCCAACCUUCUGGUCCUAGGCAUGAAGCAUUCCAAAAAGCCUAGGAAAAUUCAUAUGUUUUCCUAA